CUAGGAGAAGAAGAGGUUGCCAAACAUGUUGAUCAGGUAGUUGAACAUCUUCAGACUGCAGAAGAAUUGAAAUUACAAUCUGGAAGCAACCUAUUGGAAGUAAUCCGGAGCCUUGGUAAAAUUUCUUAUUUUACAGAAUUCGUUGCCGUGAAUUUGUUGAUUUCAACGAAGGUCUGUUGUUGAAAGAACAUCCGGGAGUUGUGAUAUCGGUGCAGACGAGACAGGCAAUAAGAGCGGUGCUCAAUCACUGUCAAGAUGUUAUCCAAGAGAUGCAGUCUGGUGGGCUACUCGAUGAAGGAGACGAAGAGAAAUUAUUUAUGAAUUUGUUUCGCUUUGGUGAUGUUGAUGGCAAAGGUGUAGAUGCCAAGUUGCAGCAUCCUCUUGGAGUCUCUUGGAACAGCAAAGACAAUCAUCUAUAUGUUGCCAACUCCUAUAAUCACAAAGUUGCUCACGUUUCUCUUUCUCGAUUUUGUAAACUAAUUCCUGACAUUUUAGAUUAAACGUGUUAAUCCUUUGACUCGUGAAUGUGUCACCAUAUGUGGAAAUGGAUCGGCAGGUGCAGCUGUUGGUUCAUAUGGUAGUGCACAGUUUUCUGAACCGGGAGGCUUAUGUGUGUCACACGACUGCAGCAAUCUCUAUGUAGCUGACACCAACAAUCAUUGUAUUAAGAUUGUAGACCUAGAAUCAAAACUUGUUUCUCAGCUGUUUGUCAGAGAAGCUGCUGUUGUAGAGUCUGAAGUUAAGCAAGUCAAAGAGAAACGUGUGUCACCUAGAGGAACUGCUGUCACUCAACUGCCUCCAUUGUGUAUGAGAGAUGGGAUUACAAGGAACAUUCGAUUGCACGUUGAGCUUUCUGCAGACUAUCAUUUCACUGAGGGAGCUACUAGUCGUUGGAAAAUUGUUAUUCCAGAAGGCAAUGUUUGGAAAUGAUGCCCCAUCAAAGUGUUGGGUGACAAAUCUGGUUCAAUAUGUUGUAUUCGAGAUGUUUGUAUCUCUCUUUCUUGCACUUCAGCAGUCCAUCUAACUGAAUCAUCAUUUGAGGUUGAAGCUGAGGUAUAUUUCUGUGAGGAGUCAGGCCUGUGUCGUGUACAGGGUGCAAAGUUUCAGGUUGCAGUCAAUGUUUUGGAAAGCAGUGAGAUAUCGACAGGUUUGCAUGAUGAUUAUAUGAUGACUAUUGAAUGUAAAGUGUAAAACUGAGCUUUUCAGUCGAGAAAGCUAAUUGGUAUUGGUUAUGAACUUAAUUGACUUUGCUAUUAGAAUUGCCUAGAAAUUUAUUCAUUAGUUAAAUGAACAUGAAAUAUUUGAUUGCAUGCCCGUGUUAAUUUCUUUGCCAACUAGCGGUGCCUUUUUUGUAUUAUGUUAUUGUAUUUGUAUCUUUUACAAUGCU
Molecule: RNA transcript, 1387 nt
Organism: Corticium candelabrum
Lineage: Eukaryota; Metazoa; Porifera; Homoscleromorpha; Homosclerophorida; Plakinidae
Exons: 5
Source: RefSeq, a predicted model, not a curated record